Molecule: long non-coding RNA, 1292 nt
Organism: Arabidopsis lyrata subsp. lyrata
Lineage: Eukaryota; Viridiplantae; Streptophyta; Magnoliopsida; Brassicales; Brassicaceae
Exons: 2
Source: RefSeq, a predicted model, not a curated record
UAAAUGGUAAAUAAUGAAAUAAGCUAAGAGGUGUCUUUGGUGUCUCUUAACUAAGAGACAAAUCUAUUGUUAAGAAGCGAUGACGUGGCGACUUCUUUCUCUUUCUCUCUCGUUUGUGAAACCGGAGACGACUUCGACGGCUCAAUCCCACGGCGCCUUCUCCGUUCAUAUCUAUCGCUUAAUCGUAAAGACGAGCUCAUCACGCCUUCGCCGGAGGAUACGCUCCGAUCUCUUGGUUUAAUAUCCGGUGACCUAAUUUACCAAUCUCUUGAGGCUAACGAAUUUUCGUCGGAAAUUGAGAGAUUAUCAAACCAAGCUCCUCAAUCGGAGAGUUAUCAUGCGAUUGUUCAUGAAUCUAUGGGUAUUGGAGUCGCAGAAGUUGAUUCUAAUCCGAAUUCCGGCGUAGAAGAUUCAGCGGAAGGAUACUUUGCUCUGUUGCAAAUGAUACUUCCAUCUCUUCUGUUGGUCCAGUUGGUCAAUCCCUUUCGACGAGGCUAUAUUUCAUUGGGACUGAAAUCUCCAAGGCACUAUCAUUGAAGAGGAAUUAGGUGGUCCUGUCGAAUCUUUCUUUAGCCAGUUUUCUCAAGAAAUUGUAGCAGCAGCAUCCUUUGGUCAGUUUCUCAAGUAACUGUAGCAAUUGCAUCCUUUGGAGGAGAAUCAUCUUUAAAUGGUUCUUAGAUUGAUAUGUUUAGGUUUGGUUUUCAGUUGAGCUCAAAGUCUUUUUUGAAUUGAGUCUGAAUUUGAAUUGUCUGACGAUUUGGUUAUUGACAUUGGAAUUGUGAUGAUGAGAAGAAAUGUGAAGAAAAGGAGAAGAAGCAGAGGAGCUCUGUAAAAAGGAGAGCAACUACAUGGAAAGAAGAAGAAGUUGUUGAUGUUGAUAAAAAGAAAUGCGAACAAGAACUCCAAGUAGUUCCUUUCAUCAAGGCAACAUCUCGUAGCAGGAGCAAGAAUGCAGACAACCUUAGCUUUGAUUUGAUUUGUUUUCAAACAUUUGAUACUUAUUUUAAGAGGGAACAUCAACCCUAGCUAAGGUUACAAUUUCUAUUUCCGUAUAAUCAUGCAUGGAUUUACGCCUUUUUACUCCAUACGAUCACUUAGCAAGUCCUACAUAAGUAUGUGCUUAAUUGUUAUGCUUUUUUCAAAAACUUUAUUGGAUCACUUGUAUGUUUAAUUGAUUUUCUAUUUUCAAUCUUCUAACGUUUGGCUUUGUUUACUUACGUUAAGUUGAAGCUUUGAAUUUUCCAAAUAUGAAAAACAAAUCAAACAAAUAAGAUUAAAAAUCUGUUCAAUUU